RNAcentral lists this long non-coding RNA (951 nucleotides) under Triticum aestivum (bread wheat). Its description in RNAcentral is "long non-coding RNA (TAES_LNC027604)". The record is from RNAcentral. Lineage: Eukaryota; Viridiplantae; Streptophyta; Magnoliopsida; Poales; Poaceae.
AUGUAAUCUCAGUUCCGUCCAUUAAAUUUCCUGCAAUGAAUCACCACCACCUCCCCCUUCCCGACCUCUCUGUACAGACAGGGAUACAGUGACUUAUGAGGACAUCACGACGAUACUCUCUGACUCUUGCCCAGCAGUUCGGCGGACCAGCACGGUUACAUUCUGUGGUAUCAUUGCCUCUUCAUCUGCAUAUUCUGCACUCAAGAAUAAGAACAGAAAACAAUAUGUCAAAGCAUUACAAGAAAAAAAACAUCUACUCCCUCCGUAAACUAAUAUAAGAGCGUUUACAAUACUAAAAUAGUGAUCUAAACGCUCUUAUAUUAGUUUACAGAGGGAGUAGCUUUUUAAGUGCGAAAUAAAAUCUAAUCCAGUAUAACCAAAAUAUGCAAUUAAAUAGCAACACUAGCGUGUUUAAAUUGAAACUAAGAUCUUCAAAUAACAUCACAACAAUCAAAAUAACGGUUAAUUUACGUUCAGAAAACUGGGAAACUACGAGCUACUGAGAUGUGCAGGAUGGGAAAAUAUACAAGGAUUACUCGCAAUCACGAUAUGCAAUUUGAACUAUCCAUAGUACAGGGGAUCUAUCGUGCUAUAGGAGCAUAUCACAAGGACAUGCUAGAGAACGAGUAUAGCAGCUCUUCGACUACAACAACAGUAUGUCCUAGUACAUCAUGAAGAGACCUCCAUUACAGUCGUAGUACAUAAGCAAAUAUCAGUACAGCAGGACACGGAGUAAUAUUGACAACCAUGCUCGAGGGUUGCACAAUUCACAUAACAGUUAUGCGAACACAACCAUAGCAUAACUGUCCAUCAAUAUAUGUACAUAAAUAAACAAACACACAAAAAAAAGAUAAACAAGCUGAAUCAGCAUUACUACAGAAAUGAGCCAGCUUAGAAUCGCUGGGGAUAACAUUGUACCAGACAUGUGACAGCAGCAGCUCAGUGUAUGAG